Molecule: ribosomal RNA, 459 nt
Filed under: uncultured bacterium
Lineage: Bacteria
Description: partial 16S ribosomal RNA
Rfam family: Bacterial small subunit ribosomal RNA
Source: RNAcentral
CCUACGGGAGGCAGCAGUGAGGAAUAUUGGUCAAUGGGCGCGAGCCUGAACCAGCCAAGUCGCGUGAGGGAAGACGGUCCUAUGGAUUGUAAACCUCUUUUGUCGGGGAGCAAAAGACGCCACGCGUGGCGUUCCGAGAGUACCCGAAGAAAAAGCAUCGGCUAACUCCGUGCCAGCCGCCGCGGUAAUACGGAGGAUGCGAGCGUUUUCCGGAUUUAUUGGGUUUAAGGGGUGCGCAGGCGGAAGAUCAAGUCAGCGGUAAAAUUGAGGGGCUCAACCUCUGCGAGCCGUUGAAACUGGUUGUCUUGAGUGAGUGAGAGGUAUGCGGAAUGCGUGGUGUAGCGGUGAAAUGCAUAGAUAUCACGCAGAACUCCGAUUGCGAAGGCAGCAUACCGGCGCUCAACUGACGCUCAUGCACGAAAGUGUGGGUAUCGAACAGGAUUAGAUACCCGUGUAGUC